RNAcentral lists this microRNA (21 nucleotides) under Hordeum vulgare. Its description in RNAcentral is "hvu-miR6186". Lineage: Eukaryota; Viridiplantae; Streptophyta; Magnoliopsida; Poales; Poaceae. The record is from miRBase by way of RNAcentral.
CGAGGAAGGCGCUGAGAGAGA